This 253-nucleotide ribosomal RNA is filed under the name uncultured bacterium. RNAcentral describes it as "partial 16S ribosomal RNA". It matches the Rfam family "Bacterial small subunit ribosomal RNA", at positions 524 to 776 of the family's 1533-position model. The record is from RNAcentral.
UACAGAGGGUGCAAGCGUUAAUCGGAGUUACUGGGCGUAAAGGGCGCGUAGGCGGUUGUAUAAGUGAGUUGUGAAAUCCCUGGGCUUAACCUAGGAACUGCAACUUAUACUGUAUGACUGGAGUACUGUAGAGGGUAGUGGAAUUUCCGGUGUAGCGGUGAAAUGCGUAGAGAUCGGAAGGAACACCAGUGGCGAAGGCGGCUACCUGGACAGAUACUGACGCUGAGGCGCGAGAGCGUGGGGAGCAAACAGG